This 406-nucleotide ribosomal RNA is filed under the name uncultured bacterium. Its description in RNAcentral is "partial 16S ribosomal RNA". It matches the Rfam family "Bacterial small subunit ribosomal RNA", at positions 29 to 526 of the family's 1533-position model. The record is from RNAcentral.
AUUGAACGCUGGCGGCAGGCCUAACACAUGCAAGUCGAACGAGUGGCGGACGGGUGAGUAAUGUCUGGGAAACUGCCCGCUGGAGGGGGAUAACUACUGGAAAUGGUAGCUAAUACCGCAUACCAUCGGAUGUGCCCAGAUGGGAUUAGCUAGUAGGUGGGGUAACGGCUCACCUAGGCGACGAUCCCUAGCUGGUCGGAGAGGAUGACCAGGCAAACGGGAACUGAGACACGGGGCAGACUCCUACGGGAGGAAGCAGUGGGGAAUAGUGCACAAUGGGAGAAAGCCUGAUGCAGCAAUGCCGCGUGUAUGAAGAAGGCCUUCGGGUUGUAAAGUACUUUCAGCGAGGAGGCGUUACGCGCAGAAGAAGCACCGGCUAACUCCGUGCCAGCAGCCGCGGUAAUUC